GACGAACGCUGGCGGCGUGCCUAAUACAUGCAAGUUGAGCGCUGAAGGUUGGUACUUGUACCAACUGGAUGAGCAGCGCACGGGUGAGUAACGCGUGGGGAAUCUGCCUUUGAGCGGGGGACAACAUUUGGAAACGAAUGCUAAUACCGCAUAAAAACUUUAAACACAAGUUUUAAGUUUGAAAGAUGCAAUUGCAUCACUCAAAGAUGAUCCCGCGUUGUAUUAGCUAGUUGGUGAGGUAAAGGCUCACCAAGGCGAUGAUACAUAGCCGACCUGAGAGGGUGAUCGGCCACAUUGGGACUGAGACACGGCCCAAACUCCUACGGGAGGCAGCAGCAGGGAAUCUUCGGCAAUGGACGAAAGUCUGAACGAGCAACGCCGCGUGAGUGAAGAAGGUUUUCGGAUCGUAAAACUCUGUUGGUAGAGAAGAACGUUGGUGAGAGUGGAAAGCUCAUCAAGUGACGGUAACUACCCAGAAAGGGACGGCUAACUACGUG
RNAcentral lists this ribosomal RNA (497 nucleotides) under uncultured bacterium. RNAcentral's name for it is "partial 16S ribosomal RNA". It matches the Rfam family "Bacterial small subunit ribosomal RNA", at positions 28 to 507 of the family's 1533-position model. The record is from RNAcentral.